UGAAGCUUUGAUCGUAGUGAUCAUUUGAACAAGGUAGUUUACUAAUCUCUGACAUUCCAAAACUAUUAAAUGUAUCAUUAGUCGUAUUUAUAUAACGUUGUUAUAAAUGUUAAAAAAUUUAAUUAUAGUACAGAACCGAACGGAACCGAACCGAUCCGAACCGAACCGAAUGGAACCGAACCCGAACGGUUCUAUAAUUAUAUUUGGACCCGACGGUUCCAUUUACUAGAUACCCGAAAAGUUUGGUUCGGUUCGGUUCUAAAGAGAACCGAACCGAACCGACCCGCGCCCACCCCUAG
Molecule: long non-coding RNA, 299 nt
Filed under: Olea europaea (common olive)
Lineage: Eukaryota; Viridiplantae; Streptophyta; Magnoliopsida; Lamiales; Oleaceae
Description: long non-coding RNA (OEUR_LNC012495)
Source: RNAcentral